GUCGAGGGGCAUCAGGGGUAGCAAUACCCGCUGGCGACCGGCGUACGGGUGCGUAACACGUGUGUAACCUACCUUCAACAGAUGGAUAACCCGUUGAAAGACGGACUAAUACAUCAUAACACAGGGGUACCGCAUGGUAAUAUUUGUUAAAGAUUAAUCGGUUGAAGAUGGGCACGCGCAACAUUAGAUAGUUGGUAAGGUAACGGCUUACCAAGUCAGCGAUGUUUAGGGGUUCUGAGAGGAAGGUCCCCCACACUGGAACUGAGACACGGUCCAGACUCCUACGGGAGGCAGCAGUGAGGAAUAUUGGUCAAUGAGCGAGAGCUUGAACCAGCCAAGUAGCGUGAAGGAAGACGGUCCUAUGGAUUGUAAACUUCUUUUGUAGAGGGGUAAAGUGCAUCACGUGUGAUGUAUUGCAAGUACUCUACGAAUAAGCAUCGGCUAACUCCGUGCCAGCAGCCGCGGUAAUACGGAAGAUGCGAGCGUUAUCCGGAUUUAUUGGGUUUAAAGGGUGCGUAAGCGGGCUGAUAAGUCAGCGGUGAAAGUUUGCAGCUUACUGUAAAAUUGCC
RNAcentral lists this ribosomal RNA (569 nucleotides) under uncultured bacterium. RNAcentral's name for it is "bacterial SSU rRNA". It matches the Rfam family "Bacterial small subunit ribosomal RNA", at positions 61 to 625 of the family's 1533-position model. The record is from RNAcentral.